This 523-nucleotide long non-coding RNA is filed under the name Lotus japonicus. RNAcentral's name for it is "long non-coding RNA (LJAP_LNC001696)". The record is from RNAcentral. Lineage: Eukaryota; Viridiplantae; Streptophyta; Magnoliopsida; Fabales; Fabaceae.
UUGUUCAGAUUGAUGCUUCGGAGUGGUAAAUGUUGUUUUUCCCCUCUGCCUUUUUGCAACUUUGGUGUUAACGACAGAUCUGAUGAUUCUUCCAGCUCUGUUCGUGAGGUGUUGCAAGUGGAGUAAUGGGUGAAGGCACGGUGCAACCGGUGCGGAGAUGUUCUUUGCCAUAGAUCGUUUUGGGGCGUUAUGGUUCUUGUUUUGGGCGCUAUGGUUCUGGGUUGCCGAAGUGUUGCUCAAGGUCAACAGUGAAGGUGGUGAAAUUUCGGGCCAGCGUGUGCUGUUUAGGGUCGUUUUCGGGUGUUGUUCCCUUUAGGUUUUUUUGCCUUUGCUUUCCGGUUGAUGUCGUGUGUUGUUUCGCGUCCCCUCCAAUAGCGAGCUCUGUUUUUGUUAGGUUAUGUGGUUUUUUUUUUACCACAUCUAGGUCCCCGACAUUUUCUCUUUCUCAUUGGUCGAUUAGGGCUUGAUCCGGGUUUGGACCUGUUUAAUGUGAUUUUUAGGUGUUCUUGGGGAACAUUGGAGG